Molecule: ribosomal RNA, 320 nt
Filed under: Bacillus sp. AFS075960
Lineage: Bacteria; Bacillati; Bacillota; Bacilli; Caryophanales; Bacillaceae
Description: bacterial SSU rRNA
Rfam family: Bacterial small subunit ribosomal RNA
Source: RNAcentral
UUGAACUGAAGAGUUUGAUCCUGGCUCAGAUUGAACGCUGGCGGCAUGCCUUACACAUGCAAGUCGAACGGCAGCACGGGUGCUUGCACCUGGUGGCGAGUGGCGAACGGGUGAGUAAUACAUCGGAACAUGUCCUGUAGUGGGGGAUAGCCCGGCGAAAGCCGGAUUAAUACCGCAUACGAUCUACGGAUGAAAGCGGGGGACCUUCGGGCCUCGCGCUAUAGGGUUGGCCGAUGGCUGAUUAGCUAGUUGGUGGGGUAAAGGCCUACCAAGGCGACGAUCAGUAGCUGGUCUGAGAGGACGACCAGCCACACUGGGAC